This 23505-nucleotide long non-coding RNA is filed under the name Populus tremula. RNAcentral's name for it is "long non-coding RNA (PTRE_LNC001438)". The record is from RNAcentral. Lineage: Eukaryota; Viridiplantae; Streptophyta; Magnoliopsida; Malpighiales; Salicaceae.
CUUCUUCUAGGCAAACAAGUCAAAGACUAAAUUUGAUGCAAAUUACAAAUCUUAAUAGAACUCGUUGAAAAUAAUUUAGAUAAUUUUUUUCUUAAUUUCCUUACAUUGUUGGCAAAAAGUUUGCGAAAAGGUGGCAAACUUGUUCGCAACACAGAGUUCCAAGUAUUACAACACAUGCAAGCAAACAUUCGACUCUGUCAAGAUCUCUGGAUCUGUUGCUUGCACUGGGAUCAAAUACAUCAUUUUGGAUGUCCUGAUUUCUGAAAUGCUGCAUCGUUGGCCAGCAGUUAUCUCUUUCAGGUUUUACCUUUUCUUUUUCACUUUGCCAUCAUCCUCAUUUCAUCCUGGGCAGAGGCCAUCUAUCGAGUUUAAUCCUGAACAUAGAUCCAUCAAGAAUAUAAUGCUAUUAGUAUUAAGCAUCUGUUAAACAAUCUGAUCAAAGUUUUUCUUUUAAAUAUCUCAUAAAAUACCAGUGCAGUGUUAAGUGAUAACUGGUAUACAAUGUUAGCAAGAUCACUAUUGUUCUUGUUUUCAUUUCUUAGUAACUCUGCUUUGAAAACAGAAUCUCAAAUUACUUUAAACCUCAACAGAAAACAAUAAGAAAACAGGAAUUAUGAUCCUGGGCUGGCAUUUGCUGAUUCACUGUAAAUCAUGCACGGCUUAAGAUGGGAUCUGUUUAUGCCCGUCUUUGUUUUUGAACAAAUUGCUGGGAACCUAUCUCUACCUAAUGUGGUGAUGGGCUGUGCGGUGAAGAUCUGUUGCUGUGAAAAUGCCAUGCUCCAAAAAUAGAAUUUAAAAAAAGCAGAUGCAAGGCUGAGAAUUUAGUAAAUACCUGAGCACGUUGGACAAAUGACAGGAGAGUGUUAUUGCAUAAUUCUUCAUCCUCUAAUUAGAAAUUUUUAUACUGCUGAUGUGAGAAAUUUUGGGCCAAUUUUCCCCCGUCUCCCUUUCACACCUUGUGGCCAGCAAAGGACAAUCGAUAAUCUUAAGAUAUUCAAGGGAGGAGGGCAGCCCUUCUUCUGGCAUGAACUCAAGCUUAGGAGAAUGCGAGAUCAACAAUUUGCGAAGAGAGGUGAAGUGUUGAAGCCCCGUAUAGUUCAGAGAUUUAAGAUUUCUGAGAUCUGAGAUUUGAAGAGAUUCAAGGGAGGAGGGCAGCCCCUCACCUGGCACGGACUCAAGCUUGGGAGAACUAGAGAUACGUAAUUUACGAAGGGAGGUGAGGUGCCGAAGCCCCUUAUAUUCCAGAUCUUCAAGAUUCAAGAUUUCAAGGUUUUCAAGGGAGGAGGGAAGCAUGUCUUCUGGAAGGGACUCCAGCUUAGGACUCUUGAGAAUCAAUGUGCGAAGAGAGGUCAGGUGCUGAAGCUCCUUGUAGUCCCGACCUCGUUGAUCCCAUAAUUGAAGGCAUUCAAGGGAGGGAGGCAGCCCCUGCAACGAUGCAAGCUUUGGACAAUUCCAGAUCUUCAAUUUGCGAAGAGAGGUGAUGCGCUGAAGCCCCAUGGAUCCAGAGAUUCCAGUGUCAUGACAUGAAGGUAUUCAAGGGAGGAGGGAAGCGCCUGCUCUGAUAUGGACUCAAGCUUAGGGCAACCCUCGAUACUCAAUUUCCUAAGAGAGGUGAGGUGAUGAAGCCCCUUAUAGUCAAGAGACUUCAGAUUUCCCAGACGUUUGAUUUUAAGGGUUGUGAGAGUAGAGGGCAACGUCUCCUCGUCAAAAGACUCCACAUCGUUCCCAGUAAAUCUGAAGCAUGAAAGAGAAGGGAGUGCUUGCAAACCACAUACCUUGAGCUUGAUACAAUCCACAAUGCAAAGUGUGUGUAAUUUGGAGGGUAAACCUCCUUCAGGAAACGAAUCAACUUCUGGAAGUGAUCUCAAUUGCAAAUCCUCAAGGGAAGGGAGGAGGGAAUGCAUGUUUUCUGGCAAAGACUUCAAAUAUAAGCAACCCUCUAACACAAGGCUUGUCAAAUCUGGGGCAGCUAGUCCUCCUCGGGGGAAAGACACCAAAUUAGGACAGUGUCUGACAGUCAAAUGACGGAGAGCAGGAAGAGAUCUCUCGCCUAUACAAAGAGAUUCGAGAUUGAGACAUUGUUUGACUGUAAGUGUGGAUACCUGGGGUAAAAGGUCUAGCCGGCAGGAGUUAAAUGAACUACAUCUAUCGAUUUCAACAUCUGUGAAAGAAGAGGGAUCCACAUGACUCAUUUGCUCCAUUCCCUUUAGUUGGGGAUAUUCUCUAAAUUGAAGGCACCGCCCACCGCCAUAUAAUACCGAUGCAUUUAUACGACCACUAGAACCAUCAAAUACAUUGAUUUCGGUGAGCAGUGGAGCCUCUGGAAUUGAAACCACAAGCUGUGGACACGCUCUAAUCUCAAGUAUCAAUAAAGAAGGAAGGUGAUUAGGCAAGCCAUUUGUUAACUCGGGACAACCUGCUAUCAAGAGCUUUGCAAGAUGAGGGAAAGCACCAGCUACAUCUGUAUUCCAUUCCUGCCAUUUUUUCAUCCCCUCGAACUUUAAUAUUUUGAGGGAUUUAAAUGGCUUCUCCAUCGAAGAGUCACUUCCAUAGAACUCAGAGCCAACUGCCACGACUUCAUCAAAUCCUUUAAUUUGGAGCUCUUCUAGAGAUGAAAGCUGCCCCAGUGGUGGUAAGGAGAUGCAGUUCUUACAUCCAGAAAGUGUCAACGCUACCAUAUUUGAGAAGGAAGAGUUUCCAAACCAACCUGGAAACAUCGUACCCCCAUAACCAGUAAUGACAAGCUGUUUCACAUUUUCAGAAGGCUCCAAUUUCUCAAGCACGUCUCUCUCAUGUUGUGUGUCAUCCGUAUUACCACCCCAUAUCAACCUCAGCUUCUCAAUCUUCUUCUUACCCUUCAAAUUGGCAUCCAAAGCAUCUUGAGCAUUUGCAACAUCUCUGAGAUUCCGAAUAGAAAGUUUUCUCCUUAUAUGUGAGAGCUUCCCCAGCUCUUUCAUGCUAGACCCACUCUCUUUUCCCACGACGUAAUAUUGCAAAGUUCGAAGCUUUGUGAGUUUCCCCAUUUUUGGUGGCAUCACUUUCAAAUUUGUCCCUUCAAUAUCAAGAUGUUGUAACUCGACCAAGUUCGAAAUGUUGGAUGGCAACUCCAUGAGAUGUCGACACUCUCUUAACAACAGAGUUUGCAGAUAGUACAAGGUGCUCACACUUUCGGCAACCGUUCAAUUAAUGUCUGAGAAAGGUCCAAGUGCCGCAAAUGUUUCAAGUUGCCGAUGGAAUUGGGCAAAUGAGAAGAUUUAUAGCUCCACCGAUAUAAAGAUAGCGUUCGCAAGCGCUUAAGAUUUGUCAACAUGUCAUUCAGCACCCCACUAUCAAUCCCCCCCACGUAUGUUAGUGGAGACAAGGUGCGCAAAUGUUGGACUCCAUGAAUGCGAGGAAAUAUCUUAGAGACCCCAUCACAUAGUGUUGAAGUGAUUGAUAAAUGACGAGUCCUUUCUGGAAGCGUGCAUGAAUUUUCACCCUCCAACGUAGUGCCCGAUUCUCCAUCCAUAACAAGUUUAAAGCAGAAUUCUCCUGACAUGUAUUCAGCUAGAUCACUUGUGAGGUCGUGCAUGCUGAAAUAUGAUGGGGCGUAAAGUGAUUGCUGAAACAGUGACCUAGAGACAAGGUCAUUGAAGUAUUUGUCACCUAUUUCUUCCAUCUCCUCAACACCUCUGGACUGGACUAGAAAACCUUGUGCCAUCCAUGAAGUGAUUACUUGAUUCUUCUCAAAUACAUAACCCUUGGGAAAUAUUGCACAAUAAGCAAAACAACGUUUGAGGUGUGAAGGGAGAUAAUAAUAGCUCAAUGUUAGAGCUGGAGGGAUGUUUUCAUUCGACAAACCCCACAUGUUGCUAUUGGAUAUCUUCUCCCAUUCCUUGACAUCUCCUUCGGAAUGCAAAAGACCCCCAAGAGUUUUCGCAGCCAGCGGUAAACCUUUGCACUUUCUCGCUAUUUCUCUGCCAAAUGUUUCCAAGUGUGAGAAUGCUCCAGAAUUUGCACUGCUAAAUGCAUGCCUUGCAAACAACUGCCAGCAAUCUUCAUCGCUGAUUACAUUCAAGCGGUGAGAGGGGAUGACAGUUUGCGUGACUUUUGCUACAUCUUCAUUCCGUGUUGUCACGACAAUCUUACUUCCAGGCUCUGCAUACUGCAAAGGUAGCAGUAAUUUAACCCAUUCAUUGUACACAAUGUUCCACGCAUCAUCUAGAACAAGUAGAAGUUUUUUCCCUUUCAAUGCCUCCAUUAGAGAUUCAUCUGGUUCUUUGGUGCCGCAAGUACCUGCGUUGAUCUUCUUAAGAAUAUCAUCAACUAUCCUGGUGACGUCAAAUUGUUGAGAAGCCCAGACCCAGGCUUUGAGCUCGAAGCACUCAUCUACCCUUCUGUCUUUGUAGAUAAGCUGAGCAAGAGUGGUUUUACCAACCCCUCCCAUGCCCACAAUAGGAAUCACACCUACAUUUGCACCAUUUGUAUUGUUUUUUGUCAACAAGUACUUCAUUAUGGCUUCCUUAUCAGCUUCCCUUCCAUAUACAUGAGAUUCAUCAACCACAGGAGUUGUUUUCUCUGACAAUGGUCUCCAUCCACCAGUACCUUCUAUGUGCGCAGAUCACCCUUGUGUUUAACUAAACGUUCAAGCUUCUCAUAGAUCUUUUGCAACUCUGCUUCCAUCUCUUUCAUCCUUUUAUUAGCUGGAUUAAGAAUUGGAAACAAAUUCCUUACCUGCAAUGGCGGAACAUAUCCAUGUAUAUGAGAUAGAAUUUAGGAACAUAUAAAUACUAAAAUUAUUAAACUCGUACCGAGUAAGUUAACACACAGAUGCAAUGAUGUUUUGUUUAUAAAAAAUUAAAAAAAAAUUAAAAUGAGAUUAUUUUCUUAAAAAAAUUAAGUCUAACCAAGAUUCUAAUGAGAUGAUAGGAUGGUGAAUUAACCCUCCAGGUUACUAAAAUUUGAAAGAUAAAUUCAGCAAUUAGCACAGUAAACAUAAAAAAGUGAUGCAAUGAUAUCGUUUGAAAAAACUUUUGAAAAAUAGUAUAUUUUCACCUUAUCACACCUAAGAAAAGCAAUAUUUACUAAAUUUUAUUAUUACUAAGCAUAACAAGAUAGUUGUCGUACUUUGAAUAGCAACAUUUAGUAAAUGUUGUGCUUUUAAAGAGCGACAAGGUGAAACUUCAAUCAUCUGACUCAAUUAAUUGACCUGUUCAUAAUGGUUAGUGAAAUCGAUCGACCGAUUAAAAUAUAAGAAAAAUCUCAAAAAUAUCAAAAUCAAGGGGCCUCGAUGAGAUUUUUGAUAUCUAGAGAUUUGAUAGUUUACAUAACGACAUAUUGGCUACAAUAGGGAAGAUGAUUUUUGAAAACUUCUAUAUAAGUUUGAGUGCGAUUUAACAGUCUAAUAAACAAUUAUAGCUUUUUUAGUCGUUAUUCUGGUCUGUCGGAACCAGAUCUCCUCUUGAGCCUUAAACUAUCUCCUCUUUGCACUUAAUUAAAUCCUUCAAUUUAAUCUAAAUUAAUUCUUAAACAUAAUUAAAAUUUAAUUUGGCCCAUGAUUAAAUCAAAUUGGCUCAUUAAAAAUUUAAUUACGUCAUUGGACUUAAUUUGUAUGCAAAUUCAUCCAAUAAUCAUUUAAUUUGACCUUCGAAUUUGCAUUUAAUUUGACCUUCGAUUUUUGUCUAUUUUUGCAGUCUUUUUUAUCAGCUUUUUCCAUAUUGCCAGCCUUUAUUUUAUUUAUUUUAUUUUUAUUUUUUUAAAAAAAGUGAAUUUUGAAGAAUAACCCAGAAUUGAGUUAUGACAAUCUUGAAAAAUUGCAUGAUGGAUUGAGGGUUAUGAACCGUUCAAAAACUAGACUCAAAUUCUCUGUGCAAUAUAAGAAUCUAAAGCUCGUAGAAAGAAGUAGGAAAAAAUAGCUAGAAAAGUAAGAGAAUGAAGGCAAAAAAAGUUGACAAGAUCUCUGUAAUAGCUCUGGAUCUAUUGCUUGGACCAAGGAUUAAAUAUAACAUUAUAGAUAAUCAUUGUGUCUGCUUCUACCAUUUCUUUUCACUUCUUCUUAAAGGUUAAAAGGCUAAAGGUGCAACUAGGGGUGAGCAAAGAAACCGAAAAACUGAUUAAACCGAGAAAACUGGAAAAAAUAUAACCGAAAAAACCGAAUCUAAAAAAAAAACCGAUCAAACCGAUUAGAAAAAUUAAAAAACAAGCCGGUUCGGUUCGGUUUCGGUUUUAAAAAGCUAAAACCGAAUAAACCGAACCGAACUGAACCGGUUCAAGUAAAAAAAAGUAAUAGUACUAUAAAUACCUACUUUUCAGCUUUCCCCUUCUCCUUUCUAAACCCUAGCUGCCACCCAUGUUUCAUAAUCUUCACCUCUCAACUCAGCCCCUACCCCAUCUUCACUCUCAACCUUGCCCCCACCCCCAUCUUCAUUGUCAACCUUUAUCGCCCAUGUUUCUCAAUCUUCAUCUCUCAGCCAUAGUUAUUAAACCCGGCCCGGCCCGGCGGGUCGACCCGGGACCCGGUCGACCCGGUGGCUGGACCGGUUCGGGUUUAAUAAAAGACCGGCUGUGGCAACAGCCCGGCCAAACCCGGGCGACCCGGGCAAACCCGGACGAGACCCGGGUUUUUUUUUUUUUUUUAAAUUUGGGAUAAAAAAAAUUUGGUUUAAAUAUUUCAACUUAAAAUGAUAACAUAGUAUCUUUUCAAUGUGGGGUUUGAAGCCCUUUCAUAUAUAUACUCUAUGUUCACAUGAAAAAAAUUAUAUUUUUUCAAUGUGGGAUUUAAAACCCAUUAGUAUAUAUACUCUAUGUUCCCAAGGAAAAAAUCAUGUUUUUUCAAUGUGGGAUAAAAAACCUUUUGGUUUAAAUACUUCAACUUAAAGGGAUAACAUAGUAUCUUUUCAAUGUGGGAUUUGAAGCCCUUUCAUAUAUAUACUCUAUGUUCCCAUGAAAAAAGUUAUGUUUUUUCAAUGUGGGAUUUGAAACCCAUUAGUAUAUAUACUCUAUGUUCCCAAGGAAAAAUUCAUGUUUUUCCAAUGUGGGAUAAAAAACCUUUUGGUUUAAAUACUUCAACUUAAAGGGAUAACAUAGUAUCUUUUCAAUGUGGGAUUUGAAGCCCUUUCAUAUAUAUACUCUAUGUUCCCAUGAAAAAAGUUAUGUUUUUUCAAUGUGGGAUUUGAAACCCAUUAGUAUAUAUACUCUAUGUUCCCAAGGAAAAAAUCAUGUUUUUCCAAUGUGGGAUAAAAAACCUUUUGGUUUAAAUACUUCAACUUAAAGGGAUAACAUAGUAUCUUUUCAAUGUGGGAUUUGAAGCCCUUUCAUAUAUAUACUCUAUGUUCCCAUGAAAAAAGUUAUGUUUUUUAAACCAAAAUGUUUUUUAUCCCACAUUGAAAAAACAUGAUUUUUUCUUUAGGAACAUAGAGUAUAUAUACUAAUGGGUUUCAAAUCCCACAUCGAAAAAACAUAACUUUUUUCAUGGGAACAUAGAGUAUAUAUAUGAAAGGGCUUCAAAUCCCACAUUGAAAAGAUAUUAUGUUAUCCCUUUAAGUUGAAGUAUUUAAACCAAAAGGUUUUUUUAUCCCACAUUGGAAAAACAUGAUUUUUUCCUUGGGAACAUAGAGUAUAUAUACUAAUGGGUUUCAAAUCCCACAUUGAAAAAACAUAACUUUUUUCAUGGGAACAUAGAGUAUAUAUAUGAAAGGGCUUCAAAUCCCACAUUGAAAAGAUACUAUGUUAUCCCUUUAAGUUGAAGUAUUUAAACCAAAAGGUUUUUUAUCCCACAUUGAAAAAACAUGAUUUUUUCCUUGGGAACAUAGAGUAUAUAUACUAAUGGGUUUCAAAUCCCACAUUGAAAAAAUAUAAUUCAACUUAAAAUACUUCAACUUAAAAGCUUAACAUAAUAUCUUUUUAACGUGGGAUAAAAAACUUUUUAAAAUAUUAUUUUAAACUUGAUUAUUUAUAAUAUAUAUAAUCUAUAUUUACAUGAAUUUUUUCAUAUGAAAUAUUAAUUUUUUUUUAAUUAUUACGGGUUAAUCCGGGUCAACCCGGGUUGACCCAUGAAACCCGAGACCCAGCCCCUUGGCCGGGUCAACCCCCGGGCCGGGUUUAAUAACUAUGCUCUCAGCACAGCCCCCCCUCCCAUCUUCAUCUCUCAUCCCUCAACCUUUCUCACAACCCGCCAUCACAGCCCCCCAUCUUCAUCUCUUAUCUCUCAACAUUUCUCACAAACCCCCCUCAACAUCUUCAUCUCUCAUCUCUCUCAACCUUUCUUUAAGGCUUCAAGCAUAAUUUUUUUGUCCUUUUCUUUAAGCAUAGUCGACUAAGCUCCAUGGAUUAACAACCAAAUAGCAGCUCUAGAGCCUCCCUCUCUUCAAUCUUUAUCUCUUAAUUUUUGUCCCUGUUUAUUUUUUUUUCUGAUUUCUGUAGAUCUGUUAUGUAUUCAUUUUCUAUAUUUAUUUACAAGAAUGUUGAUUUGCCAUUCAUGUUGCGAUUACUGUAAUGGAUGUUGUGAUAAAUAUUUUUUUCAAAUUUUCGUUUGAAUCUUGUUCUUUUUGGCUUCCUGAUUUAGAAAACCUGCUUGGUAUGCUUGGCCAAGAUGCAAUCAGUUUUUUCCGGUUUUUUCUUUCAAUUAACCGAACCGAACCGAAAAUGGUCGGUUUGAACCGGUUUCGAUUCGGUUUCGGUUUUCAUUUAAAAAUAAAUAAAUAAAUUGGUUUGGUUAGUUUUUUUGGUGAAAACCGGACCGAACUGGAAAUGCUCACCCCUAGGUGCAACCAUUGUUUUCUUGUUUCAAGCAGGAAAUUUUUUUUGCCUAACAAAAACAUAUGUACCUCCUUUUGUUUCCACCAAAGACAAAAAAAAUAGUUGGGAUACUGACUCGAAACAUGCAUUUAUAUGAUCAUAAAUAAUAAAUGGUAGUCCAAAUCAUUAAAUAAAUGAGUUUUAGCUUAUGUUUUAAUUUAAUUUAUUUGAACUUUUAGUUGAAAUGUAUUAAUUAGAUAUUAUUUGUUGGGUUUGAUUUAAUUAUUGUUAGGUAUUUUAUUUAGUGGACUAUACACUUAAUUGUUUGUUCUAGUUUGGGUUUCAGUAUUUGAUAAGCUUUUUCUUCUCUUUAGUUGGCUUCCCUUUCUUUUCUCUCUUCUUUAACUUUAAAUCUCUUUUGUCUUGUAUCAAAUUUGGUAUUAGAUUAUUGUUCUUGGUGGGAUUAGAGUUUUUUCUUGAUAAAUGGUAGUCAAAUUUGGUAUUAGAGCGCAAGUACAAAACUAGUUACAUGGUAUAGUCAAACCACCUCCUAUAACAAAAUUAAGGGUGUGCUUGGGAAGGCGGUACAAAUCGUGUUCCCUCAAAUUUUAAAUUUUUUUUUAUUUUUGCUUUUUUAUAGUUUUUGAUCAUUUUGAUGUGUUGAUGUCAAAAAUAAUUUUAAAAAACUAAAAAACUUUUAUUUUACUACAUUUCUAAACAAAACAUCCUUUGAAUUGUCACUGCUAACAUAAUUUCAAACACAUUCUAAGGAUGCGUUUGUUUCCUAGAAAGUGGUUUUUUAAAAAAACAAUUUUUCAAACUUUCCUGUGUUUAUUUACCAUUACGAAAGUUGGUCAAUGAAAAAUACUUUUCGGUCAACGAAAAACACUUUCAUGUCAAAGGAAAAUUUAACUUGAUUUCUAGGAAAGUAUUUUCCUUUUAUUUUGGGUGGAAAACACUUUCUAAAAGUUGUGAAAAAUAUAAAAAUAUCAUAUUAUUUGCUGAUUAUGUCAAAUUUGGUCCUCAAACUUUUGAUUGUUAUAUAUUUUGUUCGAAUUUUUUUUCUUUCAAAUUCAUCCCUUAAAAUUUGAUUUAAUUUAAUUUUUAUAUUCACUUUGAUCCUUUUUUUUUAUGAUUGUUAUUUACUUUUCUCUUAUUAUUUUUAAAAUUGAAUUUUUUUUAUCUGUCAAAUUUGAUCUUCAUUCUUUUGAUUGUUACUUAUUUUAUUUAAAAUAAUUAAUAAAAUUAUAAUAAUUAUUAUUUUAAUUUCAUCAUCUUUCAAUUUUUUUAUCUGUUAAAUUUGAUCUCUAUUAUUUUAAUUAUUAUUUAUUUUAUUUGAGAUCAUUUAUGAACUUAAUUUUUUUUUAAUUCUAUUCUCAUUCAACUUUUUAGUUUAUAAAAUUUGUUUCUUAUUAUUUUAAUAAACUUGAAAUAAAAUAAAACAUUAAAAAGCUAUUUUCCGGCUCAUUUUCUAUAAUAUAACCAAACACUGAAAAGUGUUUUCCAAUUUUCUUUGCAUGAUACUACCAAAUAUUAAAAAAUAAUUAAUUUCUUGGAAUUCAUUUCUAAAAAAACUAUAUUUAAAAAAAAAACUAUUUUUCUACCAACAAACGAAGCCUAUGUAAACUAAGUAAACGACAACGUUUGAUAUCCCUAUAUCGGAAAGGGGUCAGCCAUUCUCUUGGCACGGACUCGAGCUUAGGACAAUUCGAGAUAAUCAAUCGGCGAAGAGAGGUGAGGUGCUGCAGCCCCAUUACAGAUUUCAGAUUUAUCAGACCUGAUAUUUGAAGAGAUACAAGGGAGGAGGGCAGCUUCUCUCCUGGCAUGGACUCGAGCUUAGGAGAACUACAGAUAUGUAAUUUACGAAGAGAGGUGAGGUGCUGAAACCCCUUAUAUUCCAGAUCUUCCAAAUCCCAGAUUUCAAGGUCUUCAAGGGAGGAGGGAAGGGUGCCUUCUUGAAGGGACUCAAGCUUAAGGCUCCUCCUUAUCUUCAUUUUGCGAAGAGAGGUGAGGUGCCGAAGCUCCUUGUAGUCCCGGUCUUGCUGAUUCCAUAAUUGAAGGAUUUCAAGGGAGGAAGGCAGCCCCUGCAACGAUUCAAGUUUAGGACAAUUCCCGAUCUUCAAAUUGUGAAGAGAGGUGAGGUGCUGAAGCCCAAUGUAGUCCAGAGAUUCCAGUUUACAGAGAUAAAGGCAUUCAAGGGAGGAGGGCAGCGCCUGUUCUGGAUAUGUGCUCAAGUUUAGGGUAACUCUCAAUACUCAAAUUUCUAAGAGAGGUGAGGUGAUGAAGCCCCUGGUAUUCAAGGGAGGAGGGCAGCACCUGUUCUGAUAUGAACUCAACUUUAGGGCAACUCUUGAUCUUCAAUGUGUCAAGAGAGGUGAGGUGAUGAAGCCCCAUGUAGUCCAGAGAUUCUAGAUUUCUGAGAUAAGGUAUUCAAGGGAGGAGGGAAGCGCCUGCUCUGAUAUGGACUCAAGCUUAGGGCAACCCUCGAUACUCAAUCUCUGAAGAGAUGUGAGGUGAUGAAGCUCCUUAUAGUCCAGAGAUUUCAGGUUUUCCAGACGAUUGAUUUCAAGGGUUGUAAGAGUAGAGGGCAACGUCUCCUCGUCAAAAGACUCCACAUCGUUCCCAGUAAAUAUGAAGCAUGAAAGAGAAGGGAGUGCUUGCAAACCACAUACCUUGAGUUUGAUACAAUCCACAAUGCAAAGUGUGUUUAAUUUGGAGGGUAAACCUCCUUCAGGAAACGAAUCAACUUCUGGAAGUGAGAUCAAUUGCAAAUCUGUAGGGAAGGGAGGAGGGAAUGCAUGUUUUCCGGCAACGACUUCAAAUAUGAGCAACCCUCUAACACAAGCCUUGUCAAAUCUGGGGCAGCUAGUCCUCCUUUGGGGAAAGACACCAAAUUAGGACAGUGACUGAUUGUCAGAUGACAGAGAGCAGGGACAGGUCUCUCGCCUAUACAAAGGGAUUCCAGAUUGAGACAAUGUUCAAUGGUAAGUGUGGAUACCUGGGGUAAAAGGUCUAGCUGGCAGCACUUAAAUGAACUACAUCUCUCGAUUUUGAUAAAAGUGAAAGAAGAGGGAUCCAAACGACUCAUUUGCUCCAUUCCCUUUAGCUGGGGAUCUUGUCUAAAAUGGAGGCACGGCGUGGAUGGUUGAUCUGAUAACCCAAACUGUCCUGUUAGCCCAUUUAUACGUCUUUCAUCGCCCUCAGAUACAUUGAUUACGCCGAGCAUGGGUGCCUCUGGAAUUGAAACCACAAGCUGUGGACAUUCUUGAAUAAAAGCUUCCAUAAACAAGGAAGGUGACUAGGCAAGGCAUUUGUUAACUUGGGGCAAUGUCUUAUGCGGAGCUCUGCAAGAUGAGGGAAAGCACCAGCUACAUCUGUUUUCCAUUCCUGCCAUUUUCGCAUCCCCUCAAACUUUAAUAUUUUGAGGGAUUUAAAUGGCUUCUCCAUCGAAGGGUCACUUCCAUAGAACUCAGAACCAACUGCCACGACUUCAUCAAAUCCUUCAAUAUGGAGCUCUUCUAGAGAUGGCAGCUGCCCCAAUGGUGGUAAGAGGAUGCAGUUCUUACAUCCAUAAAGAAACAACACUACCAUAUUUGAGAAAGAAGAGUUUCCAAGCCAGCCUGGAAACGUUGUACCCCGUAACCAGUAAUGGCAAGCUGUUUCACAUUUUCAGAAGGCUCCAAUUUCUCAAGUACUUCUCUCUCGUGUGGUGUGUCAUCCGUAUUGCCAUCCCACGUCAACCCCAACUCCUCAAUCUUCUUCUUACCCUUCAAAUCGGCAUCCAAAGCAUCUUGAGCAUUUGCAACAUCUCUGAGAUUCCGAAUAGAAAGUUUUUUCCUUAUAUGUGAGAGCUUCCCCAACUCUUUCAUGCUAGACCCGCUAUCUUUUCCCACGAUGUAAGAUUCCAAAAUUCGAAGCUUCGUGAGUUUCCCCAUUUUUGGUGGCAUCUCUUUCAAAUUUGUCCCUUCAAUAUCAAGAUGUUGUAAGUCGACCAAGUUGGAAAGGUUGGAUGGCAACUCCAUGAGAUGUCGGCACUCUUUAACAAUAAGCUUUGCAAAUAGUACAAGGUGCACACACUUUCAGGUAACCUUUCAAUGGCGGUGCAAGAAAGGUCCAAGUGCCGCAAAUGUUUUCAAGUUGCCAAUGGAAUUGAGCAACUGAGAAGAAAUAUCUUUUAGAUGAAUAAAGAUAGCAUUCGCAAGCGCUUAAGAUUUGGCAAGAUGUCAUUCAGUGCCUCAUAUCACUUCCCUUAAAAACAUAGUGGAAACAAGGCGCGCAAAUGUUGGACUCCAUGAAUGCUACGAAAUAUCCGAAGUCCUCGUCAUAUGCUCCUGAAGUGAUUGAUAAAUAACGAGUCCUUUCUGGAAGCGAGCAUGAAUGUUCACCCUCCAACCCAGAGCCCGAUUCAUUAAUACCAAGCUUAAAGCAAAAUUCUCCUGACACGUAUUCAGCUAAAUCACUUAUGAUGUCAUGCAUGCUGAAAUCUGAUUGAACAUGAAGUGAUUGCUGGAAAAGUGACCUGGAGACAAGAUCAUCAAAGUAUUUUUCACCUAUAUCUUCCAUCUCCUCAACUCCUCUGGACUGGCCUAAAAAACCAUGUGCCAUCCAUUCAGUGAUUAAUCCAUUUUUCUUGAAUACAUAACUCUUGGGAAAUAUUGCACAAUAAACAAAACAACGUUUCAGGUGUGAAGGGAGAUAAUAAUAGCUCAAUGUUAGAGCUGGAGGGAUGUUUUCAUUCGACAAUCCCCACAAACUGCUAUUGGAUAUCUUCUCCCAUUGCCUGACAUCUCCUACGGAGUGCAAAAGACCCCCAAGAGUUUUCGCUGCCAGCGGUAAACCUUUGCACUUUCUCGCUAUUUCUCUGCCAAAUGCUUCCAAGUGUGAGACUGCUCCAGAAUUUACACCACUAAAUGCAUCCCUUGCAAACAAUUUCCAGCAAUCUUCAUCGCUUAUUACAUCCAAGCGGUGAGAGGGGAUGACUGUUUGCGUGACUUUUGCUACAUCUUCAUUCCGUGUUGUCACGACAAUCUUACUUCCGUGCUCCACAUACAGCAAAGGUAGCAGUAGUUUAUCCCAUUCAUUGUACUUAAUGUUCCACGCGUCAUCUAGAACAAGUAGAAGUUUCUUCCCUUUCACUGCCUCCAUUAGAGAUUCAUCUGGUUCUUUGGUGCGGCAAGUACUUGCGUUGAUCUUAUCAAGAAUAUCCUUAAUAAUCCUGGCAACAUCAAAUUGUUGGAAGCCCAGACCCAGGCUUUGAGCUCGAAGCACUCAUCUAUCGUUGUAGAUAAGCUGAGCAAGAGUGGUUUUACCAAUCCCGCCCAUGCCCACAAUGGAACGCACAACUAAAUUUGAGCCAUCUGUGUUGUGUUGUGUCAACAAGUGCUCCAUUAUGGCUUCCUUAUCAGCGUCCCUUCCAUAUACAUAGAGAUUCAUUAACCAGUGGAGUUGUUUUCUCUGACAAUGGUCUCCAUCCACCAGUACCUUCUAUGUGGCGCAGAUCACCCUUGUGUUUAAGUAAACGUUCAAGCUUCUCAAGGAUCUUUUGUAACUCUGCUUCCAUCUCUUUCAUCCUUCUAUUAGCUGGAUUUAGAAAUGGAAACCGAUCCUUACCUGCAAUGGUGGACUAAAUAUGUGAGAUAGAAUUCAGGAAAACAUUAUAAUUUAUAAUAUCAAAACAUAAACAUUAAGAUUUUUACAUCUAGUGAAUUAAUAAGUUAAUACCAUUAAAUUGUUGAUGCUAUAAACAUUAAGAUUUUUACAUCUAGUGAAUUAAUAAGUUAAUGCCAUUAAAUUGUUGAUGCUAGCUUAACGUAAUUAAGCAGUGAAAGUCAAGUUUUAAAAAGAUAUUGAUUCAAUGCCAUAAGUGAUUUUCAUAGCCCUUACUAUAUAAUAUUAUUUAUAUAUAUAUAAUGAAAUUAAUUUUUUUUCUAAAAUAAAAAUGGAAAAAUAAUUGUUUAGCAAUUAAAAAGUAAAGUAUUUAUUUUUCAUAUUUAAAAUAAAGAUAUGAGCCUUUCAUGUAUAAAACAUCAUUCCAAUUUCUAAUUGUGCUAACAAAAAAUCAAUGCAUAAUUCUUGGUGAUUAUUAUAUAUAAUUACUAAGAAAUUUAAUAUUUAUAAUAAUGGGUUUUGAAUCUCGUAAGUCCUAACUAUUCAUCACUAAAAAUAUUGAAAGACAAUUCAAUUUUAUAUCCCUUAUAUUUUCAUAAAAAAGUAAGAGUCAUUCAUGUUCUCAUAAAAAUAUAUAUAAUUUAAUUGACAAAAUUUAUAUAAAUAAUUCAGAUUUUAAAAAUAUAGCAUUUUGGAUUUUAAAAAAAACAAACAAACAAAUAGAGGGAUCAAUACAAACAUUUUAUGAGGAAGCAAGGUCUCUAGGUGCAAGAACUUAUGCUUACCCAAUUGCUGUCAGGUCGAGGGGCAUCAAUGUCCUUGGAUCGUAGAUAUUCAUAAUCAAUCUCCUCCGAUAUGUCCUCAGCUUCAUAGACAGCGUGUUUAACAUCAUUAAGCCACUUCUUCACAGCACGAUUUGUAAUCUGCUUCUCCUCCGCAUCGUCGAGUAGUCCGUUGACAGUAUUCAGUGUUUCAUUCAGCUUUUCCAGAAGACCAUCAUCGAGUUUGUGGCUUUGGAAGAAGCCCAGAACCUCACGAGAGGCCAACCUGUCGACCAGAACCUCAAUGAGAGCAGAGAGAAUUGAUCCUCCGAUCAACUCCAGAGACAUGGUGGAUUUUUGCAGAAGGGUGAGGGUGGGAAUAUGUGAGAGAAAAGGAGUUGUGGAAAGCAGGAGCCUUGGUGGAUUUUUGCUAAAGGGUGAGAGAGUGAUUAUGUGAGAGAGAAUGAUAAGCCAAAUAGAAAACCCGAGGAAGCCGGCUUCGAGUGUGUUUGUCCUUGACGCAGUGUAUGCGUUUUCUCUCAAUGUAUAGAAAUGAUGGGCCCACUGCCCAAGGUUGGAACUUGGAUAUGAAAAAGAUUUUUUUUUUUCUGCUUUUUACAUGCUGGAUCACAGGUUAAACCUUCUUGAUCUGCUAAAAAAAACAUUCAAAAAUUAUCUUUGCAUCCUUUUUCUUUCUCCUAUCAUUCAUUACAAUUGCUUGUCUUUCUUUGAACAAUACAAUUGCCCAGAAAAUUCUGGUUUUGCUAUCAACAUGAUACAAUAGCAAUGAACAAGUCUAUUUCAUUAAAAAUUCAGAUUUGUAAUUUACUCGUAAACUAGUCGACUUAUCAGGUCAACCUGAAACUUGAAUGACUCGGUAAAAUACUAGUAAAGACCAUUUUCUUCAAAUGUAUUUUUUUCUCCUAUCUAGGAACCUUUUAUAUAUUUUAUUUUUUUUAUUUAGUUACUCAUUUCAAAAUUCACUAUAUAAAUAUUAGAAGAAUAUUUUAUUUUUUUAAUGUGAUAUUUUGAAGCCCUUUAAUAUAUAUACUUUAUGUUCUUCAAAAAAAAAUUAUGUUUUUUCAAAUGUAGAAUAAAAAACCUUUUUUGUUUAAAUACUUCAACUUAAAAAAAUAAGAUAGUAUAUUUUCAAAGUAGAAUAAAAAAUCUUUUGAAAUAAUCUUUUAAACUUAAUUGCUUACAACAUGUAUAGCCUAUAUCCAUAUAGAUUAUUUUUUAUUUUUUUAUAUAAAAUAUUAAAACCUCAUAUUUUUUUAAUUUUUCCUGAUUGACCCGAGUCAACCCAUGUAAACUAGGACCUAGCCCCUUAGUCGGGUUAAUCCUUAGGCUGAGUUUGAUAACCAUGAUUGUCAUGAGAAUACAACUUUAAAAAUGCAAUUAAAAAGAAAUAAAGUGAUGUGAACAGUUAAAAAAUCAAAUAAAUAGAUAAAACCUUUUCUUUUUUAUUUUAUUAAGGGCCUCUUUUAAUUAUUUUUUUUAUUAUGUGUUUAGAGAUAAAUUUAUGGACACUAAAAUCAACAUUUUUUAUUCUUGAAAUACAACUCACCAAAAUACCUUUUUAUAUAUAUCUAACGACUUUCUAUUUAUACUCAUGACAUCAAAAAAUUGAAAUACGAGGAGAAUGAAGUUUUAGAAUUAAAUAUAAAUAGCUAAAACUACAAGAAUAAAAGAAAAAACUUUAGGAACCCAAAUGAACUUUUAUGAGAAUUUCAAGGAUCAAAACUCAAUAUUCAGAUAGUAAAACGAGUGGGAAAUGAAGUUUAAAACUAAAAUGUAAACACAUAAAACUACUAGGAUUAAAAAUAUUUUUUUAAAAAACUUCAUUUGGUAUUACUCUUAGAACGUAAUUGGUACAAGGCUUAAAAAUAUGGGUGAAAUUAUCACAUAAAUAAUAAUUAUUAUUAUAAGAGCAAAUUUAAAAAGUGUAAAUGUUGGUUUUUAAAAAUGACUGAUGUAUUUGAACAGUUAAAUACUUGUGAAAAAAAGAGAGAAUAAUUUAAUAAUUAACUUCAACUUUUCCAUUAAUUAAUUAAGAUCUAAAAAAUCCAAAAAUUAUAAGUUUCUAAUAUAAAGUUAAAAAAUUUACAUAUAUAUAAAAAAGAUAUUUCAUAAAAUUCUAUUUUUUUUUAAUAAUUCACAGAAACUCAAUGCAAGACUUCAUAUGUUGAAUCUUCUCAUUAUCAACACUUUCAAAUAUAUCUUUUUUGAUAUAAGUAACCAAACAAUCAUUAAAUAAAUUAUCCCCAACUCGAUUGUGUAAUCGACUUUUGACUAAUUUCAACGUUGAAAAUAUUCUCUUUACUGAUGCAAUAACCACGCGUAAAAUUAAUGCUAAAUUUAUCACGUAAUAUAUGUUAUUUAUUAAAUUUAUUACUUAUAUAUUAAAAUGUAUGGGAUUUUCACCGUGUAUUUGUUAUUAUACAAUUUUUUUUUUCAGUUUAUCCAUGACAACUAGAGUGCCGAGCUCAAAAUGCUAGGGUCUGACAUAGUACCCGACCUAAUUACCAAACCCUAGAUUUGGUAACUAUGCAAGACCCAAGCAUCCCUUGCAAACAACUCCCAGCAAUAUUCAUAGCUUAUUGCAUUCAAGCGGUGAAAGGGGAUGACAGUUUGCGUGACUUUUGCUACAUCUUCUUCCCGUGUUGUCACGACAAUCUUACUUCCGUGCUCCACAUACCGCAAAGGUAGCAGUAGUUUAUCCCAUUCAUUGUACUUGAUGUUCCACGCGUCAUCUAGAACAGGUAGAAGUUUUUUCCCUUUCACUGCCUCCAUUAGAGAUUCAUCUGGUUCUUUGGUGCGGCAUGUACUUGCGUUGAUCUUAUCAAGAAUAUCCUGAAUAAUCCUGGCAACAUCAAAAUAGAUAACAACUACUGUAUAAAUAAUAAUUUUUAAAAUUUUUAAUUGAAAUCUAUUUUUUAAUCUAAUUAUUGGACACAUAUGAACAUUUUGACUCAUAAUUAAUUUUUUUAAAAAAAAUUCAUAAAAUUAUAAUUUUUAUGUGAAAUAAUCCACUGUUUAAUACAAUAAACUUCAAUUAAAUGACCAAUUAAGCUAGAUGAUUGAACUUUCAAUUAAUUUGUUAACUUGCGCUAACAUUUACCAAUGUUACUGUUUGAAAAUGUAAAAGUAAGCUAUUUCACUAAAAAAAAAUUUCGGUCUAGCAUCACUAAGCCACCUCUGCACAGCAGGCUUGGUAAUCUGUUUCUCCUCCGCGUCGUCGAGAAGUCCGUUGAGAGUAUUCAGUGUUUCUUUCAACUUUCCGAGAAGACCAUCAUUGAGCUUGUGGCUUUCGUCUCAUUUGCCCUGAAACCAAGCAUACGUUGUGGAAUUGAAAAGUAAGCAAGAGUUGCAAUAAAUCUCGUAAGUUAUGGAUUGAUUUGGUUCUACGAGGAUUAAUAUCACAACCAGCUUUGAAAAGCGAUAUGUUUUUGAUUUUUUGUUGUUUUUUUUAAAUGUUUUUUAAUUAAAAAUAUAUUAAAAUAAUAUUUUUUAUUUAUUAAUUAAAAAUAAAUUAUUUAAAAUAAAGAAAACAAUUAAAUUUUUUUUAAAAAAAAAAUUUAAAAUGUAAAAAUAAACAGCCUUGAAGAAGGUUUUUGAGAGUAUAGUAAUACUUGCUUUUAAAAAAAAAAAUUUGCUUAUGUGUGAGAGCUUCCCCAGCUCUUUCAUGCUAGACCCGCUCUCUUUUCCCACAAUGUAAUAUUCCAAAUAUCGAAGCUUUGUGAGUUUCGUUAUUUUUGGUGGCAUCUCUUCCAAAUUUGUCCCUUCAAUAUCAAGAUAUUGUAGGUUGACCAAGUUGGAAAUGUUGGAUGGCAACUCCAUGAGAUGUCGGCACUCUCUUAACAAUAGAGUUUGCAAAUAGUACAAGGUGCUCACACUUUCAGGUAACCUUUCAGUGGCGGUACAAGAAAGGUCCAAGUGCCGCAAAUGUUUUAAGUUGCCAAUGGAAUUGAGCAACUGAGAAGAAAUACUAAGGCCCCGUUUGUUUGCAGGAAAGUAAAUUCCUUUUGGAAAAUGAAUUCCGGGGAAAGUGAAUUCCUGGAAAGUGAAUUCCGGGAAAGUAUUUUCCGAUGUUUGGUAGUGUUAUAGAAAAUACUUUCCAGUGUUUGGUUGUGUUAUGAAAAAUAAAUUGGAAAAUAAUUUAUUAAUAAAUUAAUUUUUUUUUCAAAUUUAUCUAAUAUAUAUAAAAUAUUUAAUAUAAAAUAUUUAAUCACUUACAAUAAACAAAAUAAAAUCUAAAAUGUAUAAUGAUGAAUUUUUUUUAUUAUUAUAUUCUAUAUUCAUACAUAGCUUAUUUUAUAAAAUAUAACUAUAUAUAUCAUAUCAUAUUAUAAAGAAAUAAGCUUGUGAAAUAUUUUUUACUAUUCUAUGAAACCAUUUAUAAUUUCAUUACAUACGAAAUACAUCCGACAAAAACUAUAGUUUUAAUAAUAUUUUUAGCAUGUAAUAAAAUUGGAUAAAAUAUUAAGGUAUAAAAUUCACUCUAAACUAUUUUUUUUUAAUGUUAAAAAAAUAGCACACUUAUAUUUAUAUAUAUAUAUAAAAAAAAAAAAAAACGGAACAGUGCACUAAAACUGCACUGUUCACUCUUUUUUAGUGAACAGUGUAUGCAAUACACUGUUCAUUGUAAUUGCACUGUUCAAUGAACAGUGCAAUUACCAUGAACAGUUACAGAAAAACACGCAGCUGGCUCAGGAAAGUGUUUUCCGAGAAUUAAAAACGGAAAACACUUUCCUUAUGUUAAACUUAACAUUUUCCUUUGACUGGAAUUAACUUUCCUUUGACUAACUUUCCGGAUGGUUGCCAAACACUGGAAAAUGAGGAAACUGAAUUCCUGGAAUUCAGUUUCCUUGAAACAAACAAGGCCUAAGAGAACAAACAUAUAGACUUUUAAAGGAAAAGAAAAGAAGAAGAUUCAUGGAAGCCGGUUUUAAACUUCCUAACAAUAUUAAAUUAUUUAUAUUAUAUUCACACUUGGUAAAAUUACUAGCCACAACCUUCUUUGCCUCCACUAAUUUCUGAGCAAGAUCAUCGAUUCCUUUUUAUCUCUGGAAAUUCUUCACAAGAUCUCAGGUUAAGAAUAUAAGUUUCGAGUUGAUUAUAAAUUGUUACAAGCUUAACCAUGUAAGCCGGCCGUGCUGGCAUCCCUGACUGUUUGCCGGGGAUCAUUUUGUAAUGAUUUUCUCGUCGGACGUGAUCUUUCUUCUCUACUGUAUUAAUGAUGCAUCAUUUAGUACAAAUCUUUACAUCUUGAAAAGCACCGAUGAAAAUGCAUCUGAUGUUCUCUGAACGUGAAUCUACAAUGGCCUUCGGGCGGCAAUUUGGGUCCUACUUGUAUUGGCUUCUUCUGCUUUAUUUCCUUCUCUAAUAACAGGGGAUGUCCACAGAUUUUCCAUUACAGGACCUGAUCAUCACAUAUGCUUUGUUAUUUGAUAGCAAUUUUCCACUUCUGCGGUCCAUUCCUACCAUCUAUUUGAAAUCUGUGACAUCCCACCAGCUCUUGAAAAGAAGGGUGCAGUGCAGAACCCUACCAUUCUAUGAAAUGUUAGGAGAUGAGGUCAAGAUUUCUGAGUCAUGAAGUUGUCGAUUCUUGCGAAAGGGUGAGAGAGAGAGAAUGAUAGAAGUAGAAAGCUAAUAAACCACGGAAUUCCAUGAUGGGAACACGUGGACUUUAAAGGAAAGGAAGAGACAAGAAAACGCGUGGAAGCGGUAUGUAUAAAUAAAUUUGAUAAUCGAAUAAUAAAAAAGAUAAUUUAUGUGUUUAAUACAAUAAAUUUAAAAAUAUAUAAACAGUUAAACCGUAAAAAUUAUUAUGGAUUAAUUAUCUUCUUGUGGACAUCCAUAAAAUAUUAAUAAUAAGUUUUUUACAUGAGAAGAAUGAUAAAUGAUAAAUUAUAAAUUUAAUAUAUAUUAAAAUAAAAUUAACUUAAUUAGAUAUAUAAAAAUUGAUGAAAGAAAUAUUUUAUAAUAUAAGAAACAAAUCAAGUCGUUAAAUAGAUAAAAUGUUGAUAGCAACCAUAUUCAUUGCACAUUUAAAUUAAUCCUAGAAAUUUUAAAAGUUGUAGUUUAAUUGGUUAAAUUUUAGAUUUUUUUUAAAAAAUUACUGGUUUGAAUUUUAAAAUUUUAAAAUCAUUAAAAAUUUAUAUAAUUAUUAAUUUUAAAAUUUAUAAAAUUAAUUGAGAUAUUGGUGUAAAUAUCAAUAAUACGCUGCCGUGGAUAGCACAUAACUUGGUGCAUCGGAAGCACGAUGUUAAUUUCCAGAGCCACCAAUGAUGCGCCGCCGUGGAUAGCAAAGACGAGUUAAUUUUAGGACUCUUUUGACUAUUCUUCAUGCAAAUAUUUUUUAAAAAAUUAUAAAAUAUAAUUUUCAAUAUAAAAAUAAAUUGAUGUAUUGCCAAUGUGGAAACCCAAAGAAUAUACAACCUUGGUGAAAUUAACAGGUGAAUACGACCGUGCCCUUUCAUUUUUCCAUGCCAAACGCUCCAGAGAGCUAGCGUUCUCUUCUUUGGUUUAUUGACCGUGCAUGUCCCUUACAUAAGGGAAUUUUUAUUUUUGUGAUGUAAAAGUAUUUUUGAAAAAAAAUUAUUAUUUUUCAGUUUUAUUUCAAAUUAAUUUUCAAAAUGAAUCUUUAAUUGUGGCAUUCACUGGGUUCUUCAAGAAUUUAGCACAUGACAUGUUAAGUUUUCAGUAAUUAAAAAAAAAGGGCCAAAUGUUUUCACCUCGGGCCACACCGAAAUGAUAGGCAGGAUUGCCGUCACCGUCACGGGCAAGAAGGAUCCGACAUGUACAAUAUUAAAUUCAUGGAAGCCGGUUUAAAACUUCCUAACAAUAUUAAAUUAUUUAUAUUAUAUUUAGGGCUGGGUCACAAAAUAAAUUUUUUUAAAAAAACUAAAUUAAAAAAAAAAACUUAAAAGGCCAACAUUUCAGUUAUUUUAUUAUUUGAGCUGAAACUAUAAACAUUGUUAAAAAAAUUGUUGAAAAAAAUUUCCUUACAAGGCCGGAGUCGUUGCCUGCCUCCUAUCUCCGCCACUGAUCAUAUCCAUACUUGGUGCUCAAUGUAUUAAUCUUUUAUAUCAGCAUGAUUAAGGCAUCAUCAAGUGGAUUAAGUUUGGAUUGACUGUCUUCAAAUGGGCAUAAAUAAGAUAAGAAUAAUAAGUUUUCAUCCAUGCCUUUAAGAUGAAGGAUGGACCCGAGUUUUAAAGUAUAAAAUAAUAUAAAUAUAUAACUAAAUUAAUUAAGAUUUAAAAAAUCUAAAAAUUAUAAGUUUCUAAUAUAAAGCUUAAAAAUUUAUAUAUGUAUUAUAAAAAGAUGAUUUAUGAAAUUUUAUUUUUUUAUAAUUUAUAAUUGUUCUUUGUAAGAUUUUAUAUGCUGAAAACAUUGUAGGAUUUUCUCAUUAUUAACACUUUUAAAUAUAUCUUUUUUUAUAUAAUUAACCAUAAUCAAACAAUCAUUUAAUUAAUCAUACAAUCAUUUAAUCAAUCAUCUCUGAUUCGAUUGCAUAACCAGCUUUUAAUCAAUUUUAUCGCUGAAAAUAUUCUCUUUAUUGAUGAAGUGUUUUGUAUCCAUCAAUUUUUAAGCAAGAUCAUUUAUUCAUUUUACCUUUGUAAAUUCUUCACAGGAUCUCAUGUCAAGAAUAUAAGUUUCAAGUUGAUUAUAAGUGCUGCAAGCUCAACUAUGAAGAAAAUACAUGGAUAGAAUUAAGCAAGAUGAAUCAACUUUUGCUUAUCACAGGCCAUUAUUUGCCACUCCAACACUACAAAGGGAAAGACUCUUUUCCUUGGCCAACAAGCUAUAUUGGCUACAGUUUUGCCUCGGGUGUAUCAUUUAUUAUUAUUUUUUUUUUUACAAAAAAGUACUUUGAUGCUUUCAAAUUGAUUCAUCAACUUUUAUAUAUAUAUAUAUAUAUAUAUAUAUAUAUAUAUAUAUAUAUAUAUAUAUAUAUAUAUAUAUAUAUAUAUCUUUUAGAUCGUUUUGAUGCGCUAAUCUUAAAAAUAAUUUUUAAAAAUAAAAAAAAUAUCAUUUUAAUGUAUUUUAAUAUAAAAAAACUUUGAAAAACAAUUGUAAUUACACUACCGAAUACUCAUGGGAUAUAAAAUUGUGACCUCAGGGAACAAGUCAGCUUAUUGAGGAGAAGUAGAAAUAUGAGCAUUACAAAUCAAGCCUGCUUGAGCUUCCUCUAGGCAAUCAAGUUAAAGACUAAAUUUGAUGCAAAGUACAAAUCUUAAUAGAACUCGUUGAAAAUAAUUUAGAUAAUUUUUUUCUUAAUUUCCUUAUAUUGUUGGCAAAAAGUUUGCGAAAAGGUGGCAAACUUGUUCGCAAUACAGAGUUCCAAGUACAACAACACAUGCAAGCAAACAUCCGACUCUGUCAAGAUCUCUGGAUCUGUUGCUUGCACUGGGAUCAA